CCCUUAGAGUUUGAUCCUGGCUCAGGACGAACGCUGGCGGCGUGCUUAACACAUGCAAGUCGAACGGAGGUUACGAGGAAGCUUGCGAAUUGUAACCUUAGUGGCGGACGGGUGAGUAACGCGUGGAUAACCUGCCUGACAGACCGGGACAACACCGGGAAACUGGUGCUAAUACCGGAUACGCUCAAGAGUGCCCAUGCACACUUGAGGAAAGGAGCAAUCCGCUGACAGAUGGGUCCGCGUCCCAUUAGCUAGUUGGAGGUGUAAAGGACCACCAAGGCGACGAUGGGUAGCCGGCCUGAGAGGGUGGACGGCCACACUGGAACUGAGACACGGUCCAGACUCCUACGGGAGGCAGCAGUGGGGAAUCUUCCGCAAUGGGCGAAAGCCUGACGGAGCAACGCCGCGUGAGUGAUUAAGGCCUUCGGGUUGUAAAACUCUGUCAUCAGGGAAGAAAAGAAUGACGGUACCUGAGGAGGAAGCCCCGGCUAACUACGUGCCAGCAGCCGCGGUAAAACGUAGGGGGCGAGCGUUGUCCGGAAUUACUGGGCGUAAAGGGCGCGUAGGCGGUUGUCCAAGUCAGAGGUGAAAACUCUGGGCUCAACUCAGAGCGUGCCUCUGAAACUGGACGACUUGAGGGCAGGAGAGGGGAGUGGAAUUCCCAGUGUAGCGGUGAAAUGCGUAGAUAUUGGGAGGAACACCAGUGGCGAAGGCGACUCUCUGGCCUAACCCUGACGCUGAGGCGCGAAAGCGUGGGGAGCGAACGGGAUUAGAUACCCCGGUAGUCCACGCCGUAAACG
This 800-nucleotide ribosomal RNA is filed under the name uncultured bacterium. RNAcentral's name for it is "bacterial SSU rRNA". It matches the Rfam family "Bacterial small subunit ribosomal RNA", at positions 1 to 808 of the family's 1533-position model. The record is from RNAcentral.